RNAcentral lists this ribosomal RNA (433 nucleotides) under uncultured bacterium. RNAcentral describes it as "partial 16S ribosomal RNA". It matches the Rfam family "Bacterial small subunit ribosomal RNA", at positions 29 to 507 of the family's 1533-position model. The record is from RNAcentral.
AACGAACGCUGGCGGCAUGCCUAACACAUGCAAGUCGAACGAGACCUUCGGGUCUAGUGGCGCACGGGUGCGUAACGCGUGGGAACCUGCCCUUAGGUUCGGAAUAACUCCCCGAAAGGGGUGCUAAUACCGGAUAAUGUCUUCGGACCAAAGAUUUAUCGCCUUUGGAUGGGCCCGCGUUUGAUUAGCUAGUUGGUAGGGUAAAAGCCUACCAAGGCGACGAUCCAUAGCUGGUCUUAGAGGAUGAUCAGGCACACUGGGACUGAGACACGGCCCAGACUCCUACGGGAGGCAGCAGUGGGGAAUAUUGGACAAUGGGCGAAAGCCUGAUCCAGCAAUGCCGCGUGAGUGAUGAAGGCCUUAGGGUUGUAAAGCUCUUUUACCCGGGAUGAUAAUGGCAGUACCGGGAGAAUAAGCUCCGGCUAACUCCGUG